CAGGUUUGAUCAUGGCUCAGGAUAAACGCUGGCGGCGCACAUAAGACAUGCAAGUCGAACGAACUUAACCAUUAGUUUACUAUUGGAGCGGUUAGUGGCGGACUGGUGAGUAACACGUAAGCAACCUGCCUAUCAGAGGGGAACAACAGUUAGAAAUGACUGCUAAUACCGCAUAUGCCUUAGAAUCACAUGGUUCGAAAGGGAAAGGAGCAAUCCGCUGAUAGAUGGGCUUGCGUCUGAUUAG
RNAcentral lists this ribosomal RNA (244 nucleotides) under uncultured bacterium. RNAcentral's name for it is "partial 16S ribosomal RNA". It matches the Rfam family "Bacterial small subunit ribosomal RNA", at positions 9 to 244 of the family's 1533-position model. The record is from RNAcentral.